Molecule: ribosomal RNA, 453 nt
Filed under: uncultured bacterium
Lineage: Bacteria
Description: bacterial SSU rRNA
Rfam family: Bacterial small subunit ribosomal RNA
Source: RNAcentral
CAGCAUGAUCUAGCUUGCUAGAAUGAUGGCGACGGCGCACGGGUGAGUAACGCGUAUCCAACCUUCCUAUAGUAGAGGAUAGCCCGGCGAAAGUCGGAUUAAUACUCUAUGUUGUUCAAUGCGGACAUCAAGUUGAACCAAAGGUUUACCGCUAUAGGAUGGGGAUGCGUCUGAUUAGAUAGUAGGCGGGUAACGGCCACCUAGUCGACGAUCAGUAGGGGUUCUGAGAGGAAGGUCCCCCACAUUGGAACUGAGACACGGUCCAAACUCCUACGGGAGGCAGCAGUGAGGAAUAUUGGUCAAUGGGCGAGAGCCUGAACCAGCCCAAGUAGCGUGCAGGAUGACGGCCCUAUGGGUUGUAAACUGCUUUUAUACGGGGAUAAAGUGAGGGACGUGUCCCUUUUUGUAGGUACCGUAUGAAUAAGGACCGGCUAAUUCCGUGCCAGCCGCGGC